This 400-nucleotide ribosomal RNA is filed under the name uncultured bacterium. Its description in RNAcentral is "partial 16S ribosomal RNA". It matches the Rfam family "Bacterial small subunit ribosomal RNA", at positions 360 to 776 of the family's 1533-position model. The record is from RNAcentral.
AAUAUUGCGCAAUGGGGGAAACCCUGACGCAGCAACGCCGCGUGAAGGAUGAAGGUUUNAGUAUCNUNAACUUCUUUGAUGGGGGNAGAAUAAUGACGGUACCCAAAAAACAAGCCACGUCUAAUUACGUUCCACCACCCGCGGUAAUACGUAGGUGGCGAGCGUUGUCCGGAAUUACUGGGUGUAAAGGGCGUGUAGGCGGGAGAGGAAGUCAGAUGAGAAAUACCGUGGCUUAACCACGGGACUGCAUCUGAAACUGUUUUUCUUGAGUGUCGGAGAGGAAAGUGGAAUUCCCAGUGUAGCGGUGAAAUGCGUAGAUAUAGGAAGGAACACCAGUGGCGAAGGCGACCACCUGGGCUAAUACUGACACUGAGGUGCGAAAGCGUGGGGAGCAAACAGG